This 392-nucleotide ribosomal RNA is filed under the name Pseudopirsonia sp. Its description in RNAcentral is "partial small subunit ribosomal RNA". It matches the Rfam family "Eukaryotic small subunit ribosomal RNA", at positions 587 to 975 of the family's 1831-position model. Lineage: Eukaryota; Cercozoa; Imbricatea; Marimonadida. The record is from RNAcentral.
AGCUCCAGUAGCGUAUAUUAAAGUUGUUGCAGUUAAAAAGCUCGUAGUUGGAUUUCUGACUCGACGGGACUGACCCGCCUCCACAGGAGUGUGUGUGUCGGUUUUCCGUCGGUCAUCCUUCCACAGAACGCAUCUACCUUUCAUUGGGCCGGAUGUGCUAUGUGGAACUUUUACUUUGAAAAAAUUAGAGUGUUCAAAGCAGGCUCGCGCUAUGAAUACAUUAGCAUGGAAUAAUAAUUUAGGACUUUUAUCCUAUUUUGUUGGUUUUCAGGAAAAAAGUAAUGAUUGAUAGGGAUAGUUGGGGGUGCUAGUAUUCAGCGGCCAGAGGUGAAAUUCUUGGAUUCGCUGAAGACUAACUUAUGCGAAAGCAUUCACCAAGGAUGUCUUCUUUA